Molecule: ribosomal RNA, 253 nt
Filed under: uncultured bacterium
Lineage: Bacteria
Description: partial 16S ribosomal RNA
Rfam family: Bacterial small subunit ribosomal RNA
Source: RNAcentral
UACGUAGGUGACGAGCGUUAUCCGGAAUUACUGGGCGUAAAGCGCACGCAAGCGGUUGGACAAGUCUGGCGUGAAAUCCUCUGGCUUAACCAGGGGCGGUCGCUGGAGACUGUUCGGCUUGAGGCGAUGAGAGGGGUGCAGAAUUCCCGGUGUAGUGGUGGAAUGCGUAGAGAUCGGCAGGAACACCCAGGGGGAAAGCAGCCGACUGGGCAUCUGCUGACGCUGAGGUGCGAGAGCGUGGGGAGCGAACCGG